Molecule: long non-coding RNA, 872 nt
Filed under: Calidris pugnax (ruff)
Lineage: Eukaryota; Metazoa; Chordata; Aves; Charadriiformes; Scolopacidae
Description: lncRNA (ENSCPUG00000019034.1)
Source: RNAcentral
GGCAGCUCAUUCUGAAUCUUAGUGCUUGCUUCCCUAUGGCAGCAAAUAAGAAUCUUGUGAGGAUUAAGGCUUUGAUAGCUAUUUUUGUCUUUAAACCUUGCAGAUUCAAUUACCUGUAGUCCACCGUAAUGUUACAAUUUGAUAAAUCUCCUGGAAUUAAUCAAUUCUCUUGAAUGGAUAUCUUUGGAAGUAACUUGUAUGAGGCACGUGGAAAAACUUACACUUGCUUGAAGAAACAGAAAAUCAGAACUAUCAGGAGGCUGGACAGGAGUCCCUCUGGAGUCCAGCAGCAAGGCUGUCAUCCAAGGAGUGAGCUGCAGAGUGAUGCAAGACACUCCCUUCCCUCAGGAUCUGAGCAGCUACCUCAUCUUGAAAGGAUUUUUUGCUCAAUGAUAUCAGCCUAGAGUGAAACAUGGAUCACUUGUCAGCAGUUAAUGAUGAUAUUUGCUUGCUUACCUCACAAGAUCAGCGCUAUAAAGUGUGAAACCUCACCCUUGAAAUAGAACUGCAUAAAGACAAAACUUAGUGUAAACUGUUGGCUUCUAAAGCUUAAAGCAGGAACAGUGGGAUAUUGGUUCCAUCAAUCCGAGAAUAUUUUCAGAACUUGGGGGAUAACACUGGCACAAGAAACAGUGGAUCAUAACAUUCAUGUGGAAUUCUUUUGUUGGAAAAACAGCACUUUCAAUCAUCAGUACUGUCAGUGUCUUUGGUCUCCUACAUUCCCUGCAGUUUUUGGCACUUUGCAAGGCCUCCUGACUUCUGCUCACUGCAGAUCUUGUACAGAUCCCUCAGUGAGCUGCUCCUCUUAAGUGCUGCUUGGCAACUCUCCUCAGUGAAAGGGAGCAACAAAUAAAAAUCCUGAUUUCCCUACA